UCGGGCAUCCGAAGAGGUUGAAAGCUCCGGCGGUGAAGGAUGAGCCCUGCGGCCUAUCAGCUUGUUGGUGGGGUAAUGGCCCACCAAGGCGACGACGGGUAGCCGGCCUGAGAGGGCGACCGGCCACACUGGGACUGAGACACGGCCCAGACUCCUACGGGAGGCAGCAGUGGGGAAUAUUGCACAAUGGGCGAAAGCCUGAUGCGGCGACGCCGCGUGAGGGAUGACGGCCUUCGGGUUGUAAACCUCUUUCAGCAGGGAAGAAGCGCAAGUGACGGUACCUGCAGAAGAAGCGCCGGCUAACUAC
This 307-nucleotide ribosomal RNA is filed under the name Streptomyces sp. Wb2n-11. Its description in RNAcentral is "bacterial SSU rRNA". It matches the Rfam family "Bacterial small subunit ribosomal RNA", at positions 184 to 504 of the family's 1533-position model. Lineage: Bacteria; Bacillati; Actinomycetota; Actinomycetes; Kitasatosporales; Streptomycetaceae. The record is from RNAcentral.